Molecule: ribosomal RNA, 987 nt
Filed under: Triticum aestivum (bread wheat)
Lineage: Eukaryota; Viridiplantae; Streptophyta; Magnoliopsida; Poales; Poaceae
Description: partial small subunit ribosomal RNA
Source: RNAcentral
AUGGAAGAGGAUGGGAAGGAAUGGAAUGUAAAUUUGAUUCGCCAAAUAUUCCACCAGUUUGAUGUUGAAGAAAUAUGCAAGAUACCCAUCGCAAGGACGGAUACAAGAGAUUGCAUAGCUUGGCAUUGUGAAAAGAAUGGAGUGUUUUCAGUCAGAAGUGCGUACAAAUUGCAAGCAACCUUAUCCCAAAAUGAAAACUCAAACCCUUCAAGCUUGACUAGGGAUGCGGGUGACCGGAGUAUUUGGGAUCUCAUUUGGAAAGCCAAGGUGCCCGAAAAAGUUAGAAUUUUUUGGUGGAAAGUAGCCACAAAUACACUGGCCACAAAAAGUAACAAAUUCAAGAGGACACUCGAGGUGGACUCGACGUGUAAUAUCUGCGGCAACGGGGUGGAGGAUGAACAUCAUGCAGUGAUCACAUGCUCAAAGAGCAGGGCCCUCCGAGAGGCCAUGAGGAAGGAGUGGACAUUACCAUCGGAGAAAUCUUUCAGAAAUACAGGAACUGACUGGCUGCAGGUCCUGCUAGACAGAGAACCUGAGGAAAUGCGAUCAAAAAUCUUACUCCUGCUGUCGAGGUGCUGGCACCUGAGAGAGGACAUACUACGACACGACGACAAAGAAUCUAUCUUGGGCUCUGUACAAUUCCUAAAGAAAUACGCCGAGGAGUUAGUUACAGCGGCAAUGGCUGAUAAUGUGCCUAGGGUUGGAGAUGUGGAUAAAACAUGCUGCCUACGGGGACAAAGCAUGAAGUGGGCGGGACCGGUACAAGACACGGUUAAGCUGAAUACUGACGCAGCAUUCCAAGCCGAUUCACGCGAAUCCACUGCUGGAGCAGUCGCCAGGGACAACAAAGGCCAUGUGGUUGUCUCACUCCGCAGAAGCCUGUCAGCUAGCCGAUGCGUCGAGGAGGCCGAAGCGAAAGCUGCACUUACUGGGCUGCUUACUCUAGCAAAGUAUUACAGAGGCCCUCUGAUACUGGAGAUGGACUGA